UCUGACCACUGGCUCCCAGGGAAGGGGUGU
This 30-nucleotide non-coding RNA is filed under the name Homo sapiens (human). The record is from RNAcentral. Lineage: Eukaryota; Metazoa; Chordata; Mammalia; Primates; Hominidae.